AUGCAUCAGCUGAUGGCCUGGUUCAUGGUCCAUAAAUCCAUUGUCUCCAACCGUGUCAUAGACACUAAUAUAAGUAUCUGCUUGGACACCACUCUAGAAAAAUGGGUAGAUAGAGGAGUGUACAUGAGAAAGAAAGAAAGAAAGAAAGAAAGAAAGAAAGAAAGAAAGAAAGAAAGAAAGAAAGAAAGAAAGAAAGAAAGAAAGAAAGAAAGAAAGAAAGAAGCUGUGGGAGACAACUACAAUAACUUCAUAUUUGGGAGUGGAACACAAUUAAAAGUAGUGCCAAAUCUCGAAGACUCUGUCCCUUCUAUCUACCAACUGAAGUCCCAAGAUGGAAAGUCAUCAGCUUGCCUUAUCACAGACUUCGCCCCUCAGAACAUCUCAGUUGGGAGUUCAGACAACGAUGAAACACAAGUCAAUGGCUCCAUUGUGCAGGUGAAAAACCCAGACAGCGGAAAAACGGAAGCAAGCUAUGGGACGGUGCUUUGGAGAGAAGAGACGUCGUUUCCCUGCAUCGCUAAACAUAAAACGGGAGAAUUCAAGAUGGGCGACAGUGAUGAGGAAGGUGACACCUGCGGGAUGAUAGAGAUGGAUGACAAUUUUGAGACAGACGAGAAGCUGAACCUCCUGUCAUUCACGCUGCUGGGCCUGAGAAUCGUUUUUGUGAAAGGAGUGGCGGUUAACCUGCUACUGACCAUCUGGCUGUGGAAAAGCUAAAGAGUGGAAGGAAAGAGGACAGAUGGAAUCUGGAGUGAUGGGAAUUCCUCAGAGACCUGCUGUCAUCUCUUCACCUUCCCAUGCAGCAGGAAAUCGAAUGCAAUGAAUGAUCCCCAUAUCACCUCUGUAGUUAGGCCUGAUGUAUAAUGAUCGGCUGUGCUUUCAUUUAGCGAGUUUUAGAAGGAUCUCACCUACCUAGCCUGGUUUUUCCAUGACCCUCAUUCCUUUCACCCUCCACAGACUGACACAUUUCUCCUCACAAGCUCCCAGUGUGAGGCAAGGAAUUGCUAUUAACUAGAGCUGGUCAACAAAUGUGUGUGAAAAUAUUUUUUGAUGGAAAAUUAGGGUUUCAAUUUUUUUGGCAGAAAGUCCCCAUUUUCCUAGAAAAAAAAACUUCAAAUUUUCAUCAGAAACCCAAAAUGUUUGGCUAAAAACUGAAUAUUUUUCCAUUUGUUUGUUGUUGUUUUUUUACAGUUUUUGGCCACAAGAUAUUUCAGAUUUGUCUGAAAAUUUUCAGUUCUCAGUUGUCAAACACCAAAAACAACUUUUUUAAAGGUUUUUUUAAAGGUUUUUUUUAAAAGUUUAAACUUUUUUAAACAUUUUUUUCCAGUGCAAAUUUCAACAAAAGUGAAUAUUUUUUAGUCUUCAUUGAAAUUUUUUGCAGAACAAACCAGGUUUACCAUUAACCCUAUUUUGAAAAGGGCAAAUUGAAGCACAGAGAAUGAGGCUGAGAUUUUCAAAGCCACCUAAGGGCUUUGGGCUCCUGCUUCCCUUGGAAAUCAAUGGGAAUUGUGCAUUAAAAUCUCCUAGGUUGAAUUUUACACUCUCUGCCACACACUGGGAUUUUCAAAGCGGCCUAGCGGAAUGAGGCCUCCAUCUCCACGUGAAAUUCAAUAGCAUUUAGGCAGCUAGUUCCUUGGAAAAUCCAGCCAACACAUUUCUGACAGUAGUGGGUUCUUUAAGGCAGAUGCGUGGAAGUUGAUGCUAAACAAAUUCAGCCUGGCAAUAAAGUGCAAAUUAACAGUGAGGGGAAUUAACCAUUGGACUGUCUUAACUAGACAUGUGUGGAUUUCGCUCACUUGAGACUGGAUGUCUUUCUAAAAGGCUGCUGGAGUUCACCUAGACGUUGUGGGCUCAAAGCAGGGAUAAGUGGGCAAAACUCUCUCAUUGUGUUAUAUGCAGGAGGUUGGGCUAGAUCAGAAUGGUCUGGUCUGGCCUCUGUGACGUGAAGAAACUCAUUCAGAUGACUCCAUGCCGCAGUCUCUACCCAUCCCCGCUCUGCAGAAUUGGAGGCCAGAUCCCCGGGUGGUAGAAGUCAGCACAACCUCACUGAUUUUCAUGCAGUUACAGCAAUUCUGGAAGAUGUGCGUUAGCCAAACACAAGAUGUGCGUUAGUCACAGACAGGUUCUGGGCUCAUUGCAGGGGAGAGGUAAUAGCCAGGAAAUCAGACUAGUCUUUCAUGCUGUAAACGCUAUGAAUUUAUACCAGCUCAGGACUGAUCCUACAUUUUAUUUUUCCAAUCUGCAUUUAUACCGUCCCUUAGCUCUGUUACAUUUUGAAAGUCAGGUUAUCUCCCUAUUUUAAACAUUUGUAAAAUGUGAUAUUUGCUCAUGUUUAUGCUUUGGAAAAGAUUUUAUCAUUUGUUUUCAUUUCCUGCCGAGCUUCUUCGUAUGGCAUUGAUGAGAUGAUCAUGUACUCACAUUUCCGGUCCGCCCUGGGCUGCUAUUAAAGAACUUGGCGG
Emys orbicularis (European pond turtle) is the source of this 2459-nucleotide non-coding RNA. The record is from the annotation of a RefSeq genome assembly. NCBI's taxonomy places the organism in Eukaryota, Metazoa, Chordata, Testudines, Emydidae.